CAAGUCGAACGCGAAAGUGGAGCAAUCCAUGAGUAGAGUGGCGAACGGGUGAGUAACACGUGGGUGACCUACCUUCGAAUGGGGGAUAACGUCCCGAAAGGGACGCUAAUACCGCAUAACAUCCUGCUUUUGAACAGGUGGAGAUCAAAGCCGGGGAUCGCAAGACCUGGCGUUUGAAGAGGGGCCCGCGUCUGAUUAGCUAGUUGGUGAGGUAACGGCCCACCAAGGCAACGAUCAGUAUCCGGCCUGAGAGGGCGGACGGACACACUGGGACUGAGACACGGCCCAGACUCCUACGGGAGGCAGCAGUGGGGAAUUGUUCGCAAUGGGCGCAAGCCUGACGACGCAACGCCGCGUGGAGGAUGAAGGUCUUCGGAUUGUAAACUCCUGUUGCCCGGGACGAAACGUUUCGACCUAACACGUCGAGACCUGACGGUACCGGGUGAGGAAGCCCCGGCUAACUCUGUGCCAGCAGCCGCGGUAAUACAGAGGGGGCGAGCGUUGUUCGGAAUUACUGGGCGUAAAGGGCGCGUAGGCGGCCUUCUAAGUCGAACGUGAAAUCCCCGGGCUCAACUCGGGAACUGCGUCCGAUACUGGAAGGCUUGAAUCCGGGAGAGGGAUGCGGAAUUCCAGGUGUAGCGGUGAAAUGCGUAGAUAUCUGGAGGAACACCGGUGGCGAAGGCGGCAUCCUGGACCGGUAUUGACGCUGAGGCGCGAAAGCCAGGGGAGCAAACGGGAUUAGAUACCCCGGUAGUCCUGGCCCUAAACGAUGAAUGCUUGGUGUGGUGGGUAUCGAUCCCUGCCGUGCCGAAGCU
This 815-nucleotide ribosomal RNA is filed under the name uncultured Acidobacteriota bacterium. RNAcentral describes it as "bacterial SSU rRNA". It matches the Rfam family "Bacterial small subunit ribosomal RNA", at positions 58 to 853 of the family's 1533-position model. Lineage: Bacteria; Pseudomonadati; Acidobacteriota. The record is from RNAcentral.